GAUCAGCCGAUGAUGCUGUCCUUCCCUCCUGUGUGCUCUGGCGGCGUGGGAAAAUUGAUUGAAGCUUUUUAUCUUGCGAAGGACACGAUCUCCCUUUUUUCCUUGAAAUGUUUGUGGACCCUGGACUGUUGGAAGUGGGAUCCUUCUCUGUAAGACCUGUCCGAGGUUUUCUCCAGUCUUGUCCGCUCCCAGUCUUCUGCAAAAUACGUGUUGACAAACUGAAAUGGCCGCUAGAAUGGGACACUGGGAGGAAGUAUGAUGCACGAUGAAAACCUUGAAGAGAAAGUGGGGCUGUUAUUUGUCUACUUUCCCAUAUUAUACUGCAGAUUCCAGUGCAACCCUCCAAGGUAUGCAGCGUUUCAGUCUGUAUGAUCCCAUUGGACUGCUCCCCUCAUCAUUGCCAGUAUGUAAUACAAUGCAUUCUAUUGACUUCUUGGGAAGCAGCUCUCACAGUGAAUUGACUGUGUUGCUAUGGCCUAAAGUAGGCUAAUUUCUCUCAAUGGUGCAUGAGUAAAUGUUAAAUGAAGCUACUGAACCCUGCUAUAUGAGAAUAUUGUUGCCCUCACUGUGUGUCUCCAUAUGUUGUGUGUGCAGAACUGACUGUC
Siniperca chuatsi (mandarin fish) is the source of this 605-nucleotide long non-coding RNA. RefSeq lists it as uncharacterized. The transcript has 4 exons. The record is from RefSeq and is a predicted model, not a curated record. NCBI's taxonomy places the organism in Eukaryota, Metazoa, Chordata, Actinopteri, Centrarchiformes, Sinipercidae.